Molecule: non-coding RNA, 117 nt
Filed under: Gorilla gorilla gorilla (western lowland gorilla)
Lineage: Eukaryota; Metazoa; Chordata; Mammalia; Primates; Hominidae
Source: Rfam by way of RNAcentral
GCCAGGAAUGGUGGCUCAUUCCUGUAAUCCCAGCACUUUAGGAGGCUGAGGCAGGCGGAUCACCUGAGGUCAGGAGUUUGAGACCAGCCUGGCCAACAUGGUGAAACCCUGUCUCUA